UUUCGAAUACAUAUAUUAGUAUCGUUCUUUCAUUGGGAAUGGUUGCUGAUUUGGAUUUUAUAUAUGGAGAAACUUUUAGUUUUAGGGUGAAGAGAAGGGGAAAAUGAAAGAGAGGCGGAACUGAAAAGGAUGGAAAAAGCAGAGAACAAAUCGUAGUCCAAGGAACUUAUUCCUUUGUAGAAAUGGAUGGUAUGGGAAACACUGUAGCACGAGGGAAUGCGAGAAGAGUCGAUCUUUUCUGGCUUCUUUUGCAGCUUCCAAUCUAUCCGGUGAUAUCUUAGUCUGACAGGUGGAUUUUAGACAAGAAGCUCUGAAGUUAUGGGACGAGUCUACGCAAUUAAAUUUUCCAUUGAGCAACUACGUAAAUGACAUGGAGGAGCUGACGUUGUUUACCAAGAAAGACUACCUGCUCCAUAUCCGAAGUUUUCAGAAACAUGACAAGCUUUGCCAGGGCAAUGUCCAAAUAUCGUGGAGUUUCAAGGAAACCUUGCAUUGAAAAUAAAAUAACUAUUUGAGGCUUGAAAUGCGGAGAUUUGAAGCUAGGAGAAGAAAACAAUGAGAUUGGAAGAAAAUUGCAAAUCGACUUUUUCGGUGAUUUUUCUGGCGAGCCGCCACUCAUGGAGGGCCUUUUCUCCAGCAAAGGAGGACCAUGGUGGUGAGAAUAUCCCAUCACUUGAAAUUCAAAUAUUUCCCUACACCUUGUCCUUUUGUCACCUUGCCAAUUUGGGACCAUUUGGGGGACAAUGGUGUAAGAGCAUCUCUUGCACACUUGGGGACCAAAUUAAGAGGACAUACAUAGCUAAUCAAAGAGAGGUCAAAGGGGAAUUAUUCAGAAAUUCUUGACUCCAUUCAAUCAUCUUCAUCCUAUCCAAGAUCCAUUUUCUCUCUAGAUAAGACACCACCAUUUCCACCACUAAAACCACCAUCCCCACCUCUAAAACCUCCAUUUCCACCACUACAACCUCCAUUUCCUCCACCAUUCAACACCAUAACUCACCUUAGAGAUUCCAAAUUUCACUUUUCUUACCAAUAUCAAGAGCUUGGAGCAAGGAGAAGGAGGUGACUACCACCACAUCAUGUUCUUGGAGACCCAUCUCCACCACCUCUUCCGGCAUCAUCAAUAGUCACCCUUUACUCUCUAUCUCUUUAUGUAUUUGAUGUUUAAUAGAAUGUUGAA
This is a long non-coding RNA of Rosa rugosa (rugosa rose), 1177 nucleotides long. RefSeq lists it as uncharacterized. The transcript has 5 exons. NCBI's taxonomy places the organism in Eukaryota, Viridiplantae, Streptophyta, Magnoliopsida, Rosales, Rosaceae. The record is from RefSeq and is a predicted model, not a curated record.